AUGAUUGCUCUUAUCGGUAUGGCUCCUACCGAGGAGGAGGGAGAAGAGAAGAAGAAGAGGGAAAGGAAGGCAGCCGGAGCUGCUUUCAUGUGGAUUCAAAAUAACUUUGCGACGUGCCCUCCGGAUGCAACUGAUGAUGUGAUCCAGACACAUGCUCGUGUGUAUAUGUGGUACAUUGUGUCGAGGACUUUGUUUCCUGACUCCACUGGCAAGAACGCUCCAUGGAUGUGGCUGAAGGCGUUGACCGUCUUCGAUAGCAAAUGGAGCUGGGGUUCAGCGACUCUUGCCUACUUGUACCGACAGGUAGUUGGUCUGUUUUGUGAUCAACUCAUUUAUUCAUUAGCAAUGCAAGCUUGCUGUCAAGUUAACAUUGUUUUUCUUUCAUAUGUAGCUGGAUGA
This 399-nucleotide ribosomal RNA is filed under the name Triticum aestivum (bread wheat). Its description in RNAcentral is "partial small subunit ribosomal RNA". Lineage: Eukaryota; Viridiplantae; Streptophyta; Magnoliopsida; Poales; Poaceae. The record is from RNAcentral.